Molecule: transfer RNA, 76 nt
Filed under: Caulobacter phage CcrColossus
Lineage: Duplodnaviria; Heunggongvirae; Uroviricota; Caudoviricetes; Jeanschmidtviridae
Rfam family: tRNA
About the family: Transfer RNA (tRNA) molecules are approximately 80 nucleotides in length.
Source: Rfam by way of RNAcentral
GGGGCCUUCGUCUAAACUGGACUAAGGAUAGCCGGCUUUCACCCGGCAGAUGCGGGUUCGAACCCCGUAGGCCCUU